ACAGUGGACGCGAGCAUCUGUGGCCAAGUUUUUAAGGGCGCACGGUGGAUGCCUUGGCACCAGGAACCGAUGAAGGACGUGGGAGGCCACGAUAGGCCCCGGGGAGCUGUCAACCAAGCUUUGAUCCGGGGGUGUCCGAAUGGGGAAACCCGGCAGUCGUCAUGGGCUGUCACCCGCUGCUGAACACAUAGGCAGUGUGGAGGGAACGCGGGGAAGUGAAACAUCUCAGUACCCGCAGGAAGAGAAAACAACCGUGAUUCCGGGAGUAGUGGCGAGCGAAACCGGAUGAGGCUAAACCGUAUUGGUGUGAUACCCGGCAGGGGUUGCCAGUGCGGGGUCGUGGGAGUUCUCUUUCAUCGUCUGCCGGCGAUGAGACGAGUCAGAAACCGUUGAUGUAGGCGAAGGACAUGCGAAAGGUCCGGCGUAGAGGGUAAGACCCCCGUAGCUGAAACAUUGACGGCUCGUUUGAGAACCACCCAAGUAGCACGGGGCCCGAGAAAUCCCGUGUGAAUCUGGCGGGACCACCCGUUAAGCCUAAAUAUUCCCUGGUGACCGAUAGCGGAUAGUACCGUGAGGGAAUGGUGAAAAGUACCGCGGGAGCGGAGUGAAAUAGUACCUGAAACCGUGUGCCUACAAGCCGUGGGAGCGUCGCUGUAUGUGCUUGCACAUGCAGUCGUGACUGCGUGCCUUUUGAAGAAUGAGCCUGCGAGUUUGCGGUAUGUUGCGAGGUUAACCCGUGUGGGGAAGCCGUAGCGANGCAUCGAGUUUACUCGGUGCGUCGUGACUGCGUGCCUUUUGAAGAAUGAGCCUGCGAGUUUGCGGUAUGUUGCGAGGUUAACCCGUGUGGGGAAGCCGUAGCGAAAGCGAGUCCGAAUAGGGCGUUGAGUAGCGUGCCCAAGACCCGAAGCGGAGUGAUCUAGCCAUGGGCAGGUUGAAGCGGAGGUAAGACUUCGUGGAGGACCGAACCCACCAGGGUUGAAAACCUGGGGGAUGACCUGUGGUUAGGGGUGAAAGGCCAAUCAAACUCCGUGAUAGCUGGUUCUCCCCGAAAUGCAUUUAGGUGCAGCGUCGUGUGUUUCUUGCCGGAGGUAGAGCACUGGAUAGGCGAUGGGCCCUACCGGGUUACUGACCUUAGCCAAACUCCGAAUGCCGGUAAGUGAGAGCGCGGCAGUGAGACUGUGGGGGAUAAGCUCCAUGGUCGAGAGGGAAACAGCCCAGAGCAUCGACUAAGGCCCCUAAGCGUGUGCUAAGUGGGAAAGGAUGUGGAGUCGCAGAGACAACCAGGAGGUUGGCUUAGAAGCAGCCACCCUUGAAAGAGUGCGUAAUAGCUCACUGGUCAAGUGAUUCCGCGCCGACAAUGUAGCGGGGCUCAAGCACACCGCCGAAGUCGUGUCAUUGCAACAUGAGGACUAACGUCCGUUGUGAUGGGUAGGGGAGCGUCGUGUGCCGGGUGAAGCAGCCGUGGAAACGAGUUGUGGACGGUUCACGAGUGAGAAUGCAGGCAUGAGUAGCGAUACACACGUGGGAAACGUGUGCGCCGAUUGACUAAGGGUUCCUGGGUCAAGCUGAUCUGCCCAGGGUAAGUCGGGACCUAAGGCGAGGCCGACAGGCGUAGUCGAUGGACAACCGGUUGAUAUUCCGGUACCCGCUUUGAAACGCCCAAUAUCGAAUCAGACGAUGCUAAGCCCGUGAAGCCGGCCUGGAGUCUUCGGACAAAGGGACGUGGUGGAGCCGGUGACCCGGAUCUGUAGUAGGUAAGCGAUGGGGUGACGCAGGAAGGUAGUCCAGCCCGGGCGGUGGUUGUCCCGGGGUAAGGGUGUAGNGAUAUUCCGGUACCCGCUUUGAAACGCCCAAUAUCGAAUCCAUUAAUGCUAAGGCCGUGAAGCCGCCCUGGAGCCUUCGGGCAAAGGGGAGUGGUGGAGCCGCUGAUCCAAGGUGGUAGUAGGUAAGCGAUGGGGUGACGCAGGAAGGUAGUCCAGCCCGGGCGGUGGUUGUCCCGGGGUAAGGGUGUAGGGCGCUGUCNCCCGAGAGAUAGGCAAAUCCGUCUCUCGUUAAGGGUGAGACCUGAUGCCGAGCCGAUUGUGGUGAAGUGGAUGAUCCUAUGCUGUCGAGAAAAGCCUCUAGCGAGUUUCAUGGCGGCCCNCUAGGCAAAUCCGGACAGCUUGAAGCCUGAGACCUGAUGCCGAGCCGAUUGUGGUGAAGUGGAUGAUCCUAUGCUGUCGAGAAAAGCCUCUAGCGAGUUUCAUGGCGGCCCGUACCCUAAACCGACUCAGGUGGUCAGGUAGANCGUACCCUAAACCGACUCAGGUGGUCAGGUAGAGAAUACCGAGGCGUUCGGGUGAACUAUGGUUAAGGAACUCGGCAAAAUGCCCCCGUAACUUCGGGAGAAGGGGGGCCAUUUCCGGUGAUGGAAUUUACUUCCUGAGCUGGGGGUGGCCGCAGAGACCAGCGAGAAGCGACUGUUUACUAAAAACACAGGUCCGUGCGAAGCCGUAAGGCGAUGUAUACGGACUGACGCCUGCCCGGUGCUGGAACGUUAAGGGGACCGGUUAGUCAAUCUUCGGGUUGGCGAAGCUGAGAACUUAAGCGCCAGUAAACGGCGGUGGUAACUAUAACCAUCCUAAGGUAGCGAAAUUCCUUGUCGGGUAAGUUCCGACCUGCACGAAUGGCGUAACGACUUCUCGACUGUCUCAACCAUAGGCCCGGUGAAAUUGCAUUACGAGUAAAGAUGCUCGUUUCGCGCAGCAGGACGGAAAGACCCCGGGACCUUUACUAUAGCUUGAUAUUGGUGUUCGGUUCGGCUUGUGUAGGAUAGGUGGGAGACUGUGAACUCUGGACGCCAGUUCAGGGGGAGUCAUUGUUGAAAUACCACUCUGGUCGUGCUGGAUGUCUAACCUGGGUCCGUGAUCCGGAUCAGGGACAGUGUCUGGUGGGUAGUUUAACUGGGGCGGUUGCCUCCUAAAGAGUAACGGAGGCGCCCAAAGGUUCCCUCAGCCUGGUUGGCAAUCAGGUGUUGAGUGUAAGUGCACAAGGGAGCUUGACUGUGAGACUGACGGGUCGAGCAGGUACGAAAGUAGGGACUAGUGAUCCGGCGGUGGCUUGUGGAAGCGCCGUCGCUCAACGGAUAAAAGGUACCCCGGGGAUAACAGGCUGAUCUUCCCCAAGAGUCCAUAUCGACGGGAUGGUUUGGCACCUCGAUGUCGGCUCGUCGCAUCCUGGGGCUGGAGUCGGUCCCAAGGGUUGGGCUGUUCGCCCAUUAAAGCGGUACGCGAGCUGGGUUUAGAACGUCGUGAGACAGUUCGGUCCCUAUCCGCUGUGCGCGUAGGAGUCUUGAGAAGGGCUGUCCCUAGUACGAGAGGACCGGGACGGACGAACCUCUGGUGUGCCAGUUGUCCUGCCAAGGGCAUGGCUGGUUGGCUACGUUCGGAAAGGAUAACCGCUGAAAGCAUCUAAGCGGGAAGCCUGCUUCGAGAUGAGGACUCCCACCCCCUUUGAGGGGUUAAGGCUCCCAGUAGACGACUGGGUUGAUAGGCCAGAUAUGGAAGCGCCGUAAGGUGUGGAGUUGACUGGUACUAAUAGGCCGAGGGCUUGUCCUCAGUUG
RNAcentral lists this ribosomal RNA (3601 nucleotides) under Streptomyces inhibens. Its description in RNAcentral is "bacterial LSU rRNA". It matches the Rfam family "Bacterial large subunit ribosomal RNA". Lineage: Bacteria; Bacillati; Actinomycetota; Actinomycetes; Kitasatosporales; Streptomycetaceae. The record is from RNAcentral.